GCUAGCGUAGCUUAAUUUUAAAGCAGGGCACUGAAGAUGCCAAGAUGAGUCUUAAAAAACUCCGCAAGC
Molecule: transfer RNA, 69 nt
Filed under: Oreichthys cosuatis
Lineage: Eukaryota; Metazoa; Chordata; Actinopteri; Cypriniformes; Cyprinidae
Description: tRNA-Phe
Rfam family: tRNA
About the family: Transfer RNA (tRNA) molecules are approximately 80 nucleotides in length. Their secondary structure includes four short double-helical elements and three loops (D, anti-codon, and T loops).
Source: RNAcentral